This 2252-nucleotide long non-coding RNA is filed under the name Salmo salar (Atlantic salmon). RNAcentral's name for it is "lncRNA (ENSSSAG00000098460.1)". The record is from RNAcentral. Lineage: Eukaryota; Metazoa; Chordata; Actinopteri; Salmoniformes; Salmonidae.
CAGGUUGUGUAGUCUAGGACAGGUCAGUUCCAGACAGACAGACAGGUUGUGUAGUCUAGGACAGGUCCGUUACAGACAGACAGGUUGUGUAGUCUAGGACAGGUCAGUUACAGACAGACAGACAGGUUGUGUAGUCUAGGACAGGUCAGUUCCAGACAGACAGACAGGUUGUGUAGUCUAGGACAGGUCCGUUCCAGACAGACAGUCUAGGACAGGUCAACGACAGACAGGCUGUGUAGUGACAGACAGCUGAUAUGAACAGUGAUUAGAGUGUAGUAAUAACAAUAGAAAAGAUAAUUACGACAGUGACAUUAAAGACCUAACAUUUAUCCCCCGUUAACCACAGUCCUGGAAUCAGAUGUUAACUCCUGUCUCUACAUAGUGGAGGUUAGACCCCCGUUAACCACAGUCCUGGAAUCAGAUGUUAACUCCUGUCUCUACAUAGUGGAGGUUAGGACCCCCUGUUAACCACAGUCCUGGAAUCAGAUGUUAACUCCUGUCUCUACAUAGUGGAGGUUAGGGACCCCCUGUUAACCACAGUCCUGGAAUCAGAUGUUAACUCCUGUCUCUACAUAGUGGAGGUUAGGGACCCCCUGUUAACCACAGUCCUGGAAUCAGAUGUUAACUCCUGUCUACAUAGUGGAGGUUAGACCCCCGUUAACCACAGUCCUGGAAUCAGAUGUUAACUCCUGUCUACAUAGUGGAGGUUAGACCCCCGUUAACCACAGUCCUGGAAUCAGAUGUUAACUCCUGUCUCUACAUAGUGGAGGUUAGACCCCCCGUUAACCACAGUCCUGGAAUCAGAUGUUAACUAGGUUAAGGGAUCUGAUGCUAGAUAGACAGAAAGGUUCAACCUCCUCGUUAUUCCGUCGACCCCCAGACAGGGGGGGGGGGCCCUGAUGAACUCCAGACAGGGGGGCCCUAAUGAACUCCAGCCGGGGGGGGCCUAAUGAACUCCAGACAGGGGGGGGGGGCCCUAAUGAACUCCAGACAGUUGUACAAUAACAGAUGUCAACAGAAACCAAAUCCCUUGUGUCUUUCACUCCCAAAUAAACACCGUCUCUCCCUCUUUCUGAGAAAGUUGAUCCACUCCGGUCACCAGUUCAUAUAUACACGCUGACCUCAGGGGUUAAAGUUCAUGUACAUAUUGACCUCAGGGGUUAAAGUUCAUAUACACGUUGACCUCGGGGUUGCUGUGUGUCAGGGUCAUAGGUCAGGGUCCUAAGCAGUGACCUCAGAAGUUGUGGCCGGUAACGGGAGGAGGGACACAGUGUACCGGACAGUGGAGUCGUCUCCAGCUAAGGACUAACGGUGAAGCAACAGUCACAGCUAAAUGAGCAUGUGCAAAAUCCCUGCUUAGUACACACACACACCCCUCACCGGGGCUGUAGAAGUUUAGUUAGAUUCACUCUGUGAUCAGAGACGAGCUUUAAAAAAACAGUCAGAACAGCCAGGAAUACUGUCUACAGGACACAGUCUCUGAGCUGAGAGAGGAGAGGGGGAAGAGAGAGAGAGAGAGAGAGCGGGAAGAGAGAGAGAGAGAGAGGAGCGGGGAAGAGAGAGAGAGAGGAGCGGGGAAGAGAGAGAGAGAGAGGAGCGGGGAAGAGAGAGAGAGAGAGGAGCGGGGAAGAGAGAGAGAGAGAGGAGAGGGGAAGAGAGAGAGAGAGAGGGAAGAGAGAGAGAGGAGCGGGGAAGAGAGAGAGAGGAGCGGGGAAGAGAGAGAGAGGAGCGGGGAAGAGAGAGAGAGAGAGGAAACGGGAAGAGAGAGAGGAAACGGGAAGAGAGAGAGGAGAGGAAACGGGAAGAGAGAGAGGAGAGGAAACGGGAAGAGAGAGAGGAGAGGAAACGGGAAGAGAGAGAGGAGAGGAAACGGGAAGAGAGAGAGGAGAGGAAACGGGAAGAGAGGAAACGGCGAGGUGGAAAGACUGAGGAGAGGAUUCCAGGGGUGUUGUCGAGGUGUUCCCUCACAACAGGAAGGGGUUGGUGGUCCCAGGAGGAUGUGUGCCCGCUGUGGGGGGCAGAGCUGAACUGAACAGGGGCUGGGACAUAGACACAGAGGUUGGGAUACCCCCCAUCCCUCCAAUCCCGGGGACCAUGUGGCCCGUCAGGGGGACCAUCCCCAGGGGCUGGGGUGGUGGCAAGGAGGAGAGGGGCAGAGGGUCUGCCAUGGAGGACAAGCUGCUAAACCCUGCACCACCUCCCAGACUCAGGCCUGGCAUAGGGCUGAUCCUCAUCUGGUUUAAGGUAGGGGG